CCAAUAGCGUAUAUUAAAGUUGUUGCAGUUAAAAAGCUCGUAGUUGAAUUUCGGGAUCAAUAUGCCGGUCAUGCCUUGGUAUGCACUCGUAUCUUUGAUUUCUCCCUUCUGACGAACUUUGAUGUCAUUAAUUUGGUGUCAUAGGGAAUCAGGACUGUUACUUUGAAAAAAUUAGAGUGUUUAAAGCAGGCUCACGCUUG
Molecule: ribosomal RNA, 200 nt
Filed under: uncultured Glomus
Lineage: Eukaryota; Fungi; Glomeromycota; Glomeromycetes; Glomerales; Glomeraceae
Description: partial small subunit ribosomal RNA
Rfam family: Eukaryotic small subunit ribosomal RNA
Source: RNAcentral